This 280-nucleotide non-coding RNA is filed under the name Megaselia scalaris. RNAcentral describes it as "Eukaryotic large subunit ribosomal RNA". It matches the Rfam family "Eukaryotic large subunit ribosomal RNA", at positions 1534 to 1744 of the family's 3401-position model. The record is from Rfam by way of RNAcentral. Lineage: Eukaryota; Metazoa; Arthropoda; Insecta; Diptera; Phoridae.
GUUAGUCGGUCCUAAGUUCAAGGCGAAAGCCGAAAAUUUUCAAGUUAUUAUUUAACAUUCUAAAUGUUUUUUAAUAUUUGAUAUACUUGAUAAUUUCGAACGAAAGGGAAUACGGUUCCAAUUCCGUAACCUGUUGAGUAUACGUUUGUUAUUAAAUAUGGGCUCUUUUGCUCAUCCUGGUAACAGGAACAACCAUAGAGAAGCCGUCGAGAGAUAUCGGAAGAGUUUUCUUUUCUGUUUUAUAGUCGUACUACCAUGGAAGUCUUUCGAAGAGAGAUAU